RNAcentral lists this long non-coding RNA (639 nucleotides) under Equus caballus (horse). RNAcentral describes it as "lncRNA (ENSECAG00000059380.1)". Lineage: Eukaryota; Metazoa; Chordata; Mammalia; Perissodactyla; Equidae. The record is from RNAcentral.
CUGGCCCAUGGCCCUCAGGUUCUCUUCUUCGGAGGGAUAGCAGAGAAGAGAACCUGCUCACCAAGAGCUGCUAGCCCACGUGCUUUUGAAAAGGUCCUUCCCUACAGCUAACUCCAUUGAGAGUCUGGUGAUUGACAGGUACCCAUCACAAGGGGCCACAUUCUAUGGAGCAAGCUCUUUCUCCAUCUGAGGAAAUGUUAAGGCCGCCAGCCGCCACAGCUCCCUCCGAACAUCACAGACGUCAGGGGAGCAAUGAUACCCGGUGUCUGUCUGUCCUGUACAUGCUGUUCUUUACUGUCUCCUUCGUUCUUUAAUCUGAUGGGGGAGGAAACACAGCCUCAGGUCAGCCUUCAGCACUGUACCUGGGAGUGCCAGCCCAGACGAGAAAAUCAAGAAGGAUAAGUCAUGCAUCUUGGUUUUGAAAGCAAAUCAAAAGGGUCACAAGGUGGAGAUAGGAGUAGGACAAGAGGAAGGAAAUACCCGGGCGUGAGCCUUGCUCUGGAGGGGAGGAGGCCCCAUGGUAAAGGCACGGGAUGAACACUGCCAAGGAGGGUCUUCGCAUAUGGUCGCUGCUGAACCCGGAGCGUGGGCACUGCCUGGCCUCACAGAUUCACACCUUUAGCGACCAGUCUGUUCUCG